GAAGAACAUAUGUGUAAGUAACUGUGCACAUCUUGACGGUACCUAAUCAGAAAGCCACGGCUAACUACGUGCCAGCAGCCGCGGUAAUACGUAGGUGGCAAGCGUUAUCCGGAAUUAUUGGGCGUAAAGCGCGCGUAGGCGGUUUUUUAAGUCUGAUGUGAAAGCCCACGGCUCAACCGUGGAGGGUCAUUGGAAACUGGAAAACUUGAGUGCAGAAGAGGAAAGUGGAAUUCCAUGUGUAGCGGUGAAAUGCGCAGAGAUAUGGAGGAACACCAGUGGCGAAGGCGACUUUCUGGUCUGUAACUGACGCUGAUGUGCGAAAGCGUGGGGAUCAAACAGGAUUAGAUACC
RNAcentral lists this ribosomal RNA (350 nucleotides) under Staphylococcus aureus. RNAcentral describes it as "bacterial SSU rRNA". It matches the Rfam family "Bacterial small subunit ribosomal RNA", at positions 444 to 786 of the family's 1533-position model. The record is from RNAcentral. Lineage: Bacteria; Bacillati; Bacillota; Bacilli; Caryophanales; Staphylococcaceae.